AUGGGUAUGGGUUCCAAUAAGAGAAGCAGCGCCACCGUUGUUGUGUCGUGCGUAGUCUUAGGCGUAGCCCUGCUCGUCGUCGGAGCCCACGGGAGGAGAGAAGGAGAAAAGGAAAUCGGAGGAAUAGCUGCCCCACCUACCUGCUACGAGCGCUGCCGCCAUGAGCCCAAGGAGGACAUCGACGCCUGCGUCAAACGGUGCCGGAGUGGGAUAGAAGGAGAAGAAGCAAGAGGGGGAGGACUUGGGCUCUUGGCGGGUCCGACGGAGGGAAGGGAGCAAGAGGUAGAAGCAAGAGGAGGAGGAGCUGGGCUACUGGCGAUGCCGACGGAGCGCGCCGGACGGGACGACGAAGAGAAAAAGAAGCAAGUGGACGCCGCCCCAGUCCAGCUGGGUUACGACCCAGAAUUCUGCUCCUUCAUGUGCCGCCACAUACAUGACAAGGGGGACUGCCUCCAAAAGUGCGAGGCAGCGCCAAACGAAGCUAGAGGGUGA
This 492-nucleotide ribosomal RNA is filed under the name Triticum aestivum (bread wheat). RNAcentral's name for it is "partial small subunit ribosomal RNA". The record is from RNAcentral. Lineage: Eukaryota; Viridiplantae; Streptophyta; Magnoliopsida; Poales; Poaceae.